GAGAGUUUGAUCAUGGCUCAGAUUGAACGCUGGCGGCAUGCUUUACACAUGCAAGUCGAGCGGCAGCGCGGGGGCAACCCUGGCGGCGAGCGGCGAACGGGUGAGUAAUGCAUCGGAACGUACCCUGGAGUGGGGGAUAACGCCGCGAAAGCGGCGCUAAUACCGCAUAUGCUCUGAGGAGGAAAGUGGGGGACCGCAAGGCCUCACGCUCUGGGAGCGGCCGAUGUCCGAUUAGCUAGUUGGUGGGGUAAAGGCUUACCAAGGCGACGAUCGGUAGCUGGUCUGAGAGGAUGAUCAGCCACACUGGGACUGAGACACGGCCCAGACUCCUACGGGAGGCAGCAGUGGGGAAUUUUGGACAAUGGGGGCAACCCUGAUCCAGCCAUGCCGCGUGAGUGAAGAAGGCCUUCGGGUUGUAAAGCUCUUUUUGGUCGGGAAGAAAGCGCCUUGCCUAAUACGCGAGGUGAUUGACGGUACCGGCAGAAUAAGCACCGGCUAACUACGUG
RNAcentral lists this ribosomal RNA (506 nucleotides) under uncultured bacterium. RNAcentral's name for it is "bacterial SSU rRNA". It matches the Rfam family "Bacterial small subunit ribosomal RNA", at positions 8 to 507 of the family's 1533-position model. The record is from RNAcentral.